RNAcentral lists this long non-coding RNA (938 nucleotides) under Brassica napus (rape). Its description in RNAcentral is "long non-coding RNA (BNAP_LNC016559)". Lineage: Eukaryota; Viridiplantae; Streptophyta; Magnoliopsida; Brassicales; Brassicaceae. The record is from RNAcentral.
AGGAAUACAAUGCGACAAUAGAUUUUUAUUGGGCUCCCUUGAUGGUGGAAUCCAACUCGGACGAUCCAACAAACCACAGGUUACCUGAACGGAUAGUUCGGAUCCAAUCGAUAGAGAAACAUGCGAGGCAUUGGACUGAAUCUGAUAUCAUUGUCUUAAACUCUUAUUUGUGGUGGUUAAGGCCUCAUAUGAAGACACUGUAAGUUUCUUAAUUUACUUAUAGUUAAGAUCAAAAAAAAAAAAUCAAUAAGAUCCCUCUAUAUAUAUUAUCUCAAUAGAUGGGUAAUAUGUGAAAAAGGUGGGGGUCGUUUGAGAAGUUAAAUGGAAUAUACAAAGAAGUGGAGAUGGUUAGAGUCUAUGAGAUGGCUUUGCAAACAAUGUCUCAGUGGUUGGAAGUUCACAUUUUUAAUGUACGUAUGAAAAAUGUCUUAAUGUACGUAAAAAGAUUUAAUGGGACGAAGUUGCUGGAGCGGCUGAGAAAUAAGAGGAUGGUGUACGUAGGAGACUCCUUGAACAGAGGCCAAUGGGUAUCAAUGGUAUGUAUGGCUAGUUCUGUGAUUACAAAUCCAAGGAUGAUGUAUUUUCACAGCAACAGCUCUAAUCUCAUCACUUUCAAAUCGCUCGUAAGUCAUCCAAAACAUUUAAACUCAUCUAGUGCAUUUGUAUCAUCUUUUCAUUAGAUAUAUACAUUUACACUCGAUCGUCAAAUAAUCUGUAAGUUCAUUGUGGAUGAAUAAUCAGGAAUACAAUGCGACAAUAGAUUUUUAUUGGGCUCCCUUGAUGGUGGAAUCCAACUCGGACGAUCCAACAAACCACAGGUUACCUGAACGGAUAGUUCGGAUCCAAUCGAUAGAGAAACAUGCGAGGCAUUGGACUGAAUCUGAUAUCAUUGUCUUAAACUCUUAUUUGUGGUGGUUAAGGCCUCAUAUGAAGACACU